ACGCGGGCCAGCCCUGGCCGCGGCCUCCGCUGCCACCGGCCCAGCCCGCGGCGUCGGGCCCCGCUCCGGGGCGGUUACGAAGCUCCGUAGGGGGCCGGGAGGCCCUAACCGGCCGUGGCCCGGGGUUUCCACAGGAAAUGAGAAAGAACCAGCCCCCCGAUGACUGGGUGAAGGGAUGCAGUGAUGAUUUCCUCGUGUUCCUCGUCGAUGAGAGCUUUCCGAGUGAUCUCAGUUUGGGGGACCCAGGUCAGUUUACUGGAAGACGUGUGUGUGUGCUGGAUGAAAAUCUGGUUUCGUUUCUGCUGCUUCUGUGUGCCUGGAAUGUAACUGUUUUGGCUUAGAACCUUCCAGGUUUGGUUUAAUUCUUAACCACAUACUUUUUGGAUGUCGACCUGCUUAAAACUCUGUAUUGAUAUAAA
Molecule: long non-coding RNA, 419 nt
Organism: Cynocephalus volans (Philippine flying lemur)
Lineage: Eukaryota; Metazoa; Chordata; Mammalia; Dermoptera; Cynocephalidae
Exons: 3
Source: RefSeq, a predicted model, not a curated record